UGGGGAAUACACUAUGGAUUUCUCAAUUACCCUAUCAUUUACCCAUCUCACUUCACUUUGUCGCGUUAUUUUGCCCUUUGUCUCUCUCUAAAUUUCGUAUCCCUCUCCAUACAACACACAAAUCUACAAUCGAUCGACCUAGCCCUCUUCUACAAGAUCCUUUUGGCGCACGAUUAAGGUUCAAUUCAGGUAAUAAUCCUAUGCAAUCGGUCAACCUAUCCCUUUUAGGUAACGAUUUCGAACAUGAUAUUUUCUUCAAUUUGUAAAUUAUACCUGCUGAAUUUUUUGUACGAGUAUAUGGUUGUAUGAAUCUGCCCUAACAGUUUCCUUCAUCUUGCCAAAUUAGCUCUCUACCUUGUUUGAAUCGUAGUUUUUUUUUCUCUUCAUCUGUCUUUAAUAGUAGAGAAUUUUGAACUUUGUUGUUCAUUAUUUUUAGGGCUUUUUAGAACUUUUUGAACAUUCAGUGUGGGGUAGGAUUUUGAAUUUUGUUCAAAGUGUUGUUGCCUUUAAUUUACUACUGUUUUUAAGGUAAAUAUCUUACUAAUGUGUACUUGUUUCUUUAAUUUACUGAGGGUUUAAAAAUUAUCUUAGUGUUGGUUUUGGCUUCUUAAAUAUUGCAAGCUAGGUGUUUGUUAAAAUAACUUAAAGAAUCAAAAAUCUAGCAUCUUGUCAUUUCUAUGUGCAUAUACUUUUUAGGAUGCAAGUAAGAAAAUCUGCUGUAAUGCCACAAAAUUAAUAAAUUUAUUAUGCUGACAGAUAAAAUGAUGAUGUUCAAUGUCCACUAUAAUUUGGGGCAAUUUUUUUUAACUAUUAGUCUGUAGGAAUAUCUUAAAAUUGAAAUUAUAGCUCCGCAAACUUGCUCCAUAUGAUUCUUGCACUCUAAAACGCUUUUGUAGAGGCCAUGGUGGUAUUUAAAGGCAAUGUAUAUUUGAGGAGCCAAGCCCACAACCUUCUUACAAUAUAAGCCCGGAUGGUCAUCCACAUGAUAGAGAAUAUUACCUCAUAUCCCUUUUUGUUGUUCCUAGGCAUUUUUAUUUGAUAUAGUGCAUGUUGACAGUUGUGAUAUGGUGCAUGUUGAUAGUUGUGAAUGUAUUAAAAUAAUUGACAAAGUUGGAUUGCCUGUUUGAUGCACUAGUAAAGUGUCUUGUCUGCUCUAUUCGAGGAAAUAAAAUCUUCAAUAUAUGUGAAAUAGUCAGAGACUCGGAACAAACAAGAAUCUCCCCUGCAUUUUAGCUGAUAACAGGACUUCUUUUCUUAAAUAGUUAGCUAGCCUUGUUUUCAAGGUCUAUGCGUCCCAUAAUCUUUAGUAUCGUUAUUAAUGUGUGCUUGUUUAUAAAAUUUUUCAACAUUAUAAUAUUGAAGCAAGCGAGCCUACUAAUCUGCAACUUUGACUUAUUGUUUAUACCAUACUCUGUUUUUUCCAAGUCAUUUUGUAAUGAACCAAAGACCGCUGGAAGGAUGUUUUAUGAUCUUGAGCUGUUGAAAAUUGUUCUUUCUGAAGAAGCUUGUUAAUAAUGUUGUUCUAUUGCUUACCUUUAUAAGUUUUGUGGUAUAUCUUUAAAUUAUCUGGUAAUUAGUCACCUUUUUUCAAGCAGAUUAUACCAUGAAUUUUUGAAAUCUUUUUGACAGAGUCGACCGAACCCCAUUGUCAGUUCGUCAUAGCCGCCUCAUUUAUAUUUCUGAUUUUGCUAUAGACAUUUUCAGUGUUAGUUCAACUUAUCUUAAGCAAUCCAAACUAUUCCCCAAUAAGUGUUUGAUUUCUAAUAUCCUAAUAUUUUGUUUCUGUUCAACUGAUUUUGUAGUAGCAGUUGAUAGAUACUUUGAAGGCCCAGUUUGUUGCUUACCAAGUACUUCAUAAGGAGUUAGCAGCGAAGUUGACCAAAUUGACAGAAUUAGUUGAGAAUCAACAGGUACAAAAAGGGCAAGUUAUUGAUGUUGAAGUUUAUGUUUUUAUUUCAAUUUUGUUCAUUAAAAAUUAUUAAUAACACAAAAAUUGGAUAAUAAACUUUAGUUUCCUCUCCAGCUUUUUAAUUAUUUUUUGAAAUUACUAUCCUUUUUUAUUUUCUUAGUCUUGAGGGUGAGUAUAGUUUUUUUUGGAACAAUGAAACUUGGCUUUAAGGCACUUCCUAGCAAUAUCAAGGCACUUUUAGCUGCACAUGAUGAUUCAUCAAGAAUUGACCAGUGGAGCAUUUCAGGCCUUCGGACACCAAAGUAUAAUAUUUCAACUCUAAAAAUGAAGCUUGCAGAAGAUGAUAACUUGGAUGUGAACUAUGCUGAUGAUAUAAUUUUAUUUAAUUGUUGAAAAUAAAAAUUUUAUUUUAAAUAAUAAUUUGUAUGUUAUUUGCAAUACAAAAUAUAAGACUUUUUUUGUUGAAUAGAUCACAAAUGCUAGAGUGACACUUCUUUGUUCUGCAAUUUGUUUAUUUAAAUUUGUUCUUAGUUAAUUUAUGACAUCCUAAAAUUCAAAUUAUAAUGUCAAUUUAUUUAUUGUUUUCAAAUAUUAAUUUUAUUUUUAAAAUACUUCUUAAAUAAUAUAAAUAUCAAUAUCAAUGUAAAAGGUUAAACGAUGUCGUGGGUUAACAGCGGUGUGAUACAAAUUGUUUUUUUCCUCUUUCUUAAAUAGUCCAAAUCUGUCGUUUGCUUUUUUGUUUCAGAUAGAAAGACAAGUUCAUUCUCUUUUUAUUCUUCAAUCGAUCCCACCGCCUAGCUUCGCUCGCCUCUCGUGUCCUCCAUCACAGGUUCAUGUCCCUUUUCUCUCUCCUCUAUCUCAUACAUCUAUCCUCUGAAAUUGAUUUUCAUUUUCUAGGAUAAUUUUUUUCUUUUGCUGCUCUCUUUCAAUUCAGUAAGACAUCUAAUAUCAGUUUAUUUAUUUGUAAUUUUUCACUUGGUUCAUCCAUUUGUGCUCAAUCAAAUCUGAUUUUGGUUAUAUGUGGUGAUUUUGGUGCUCAGUCAAUUUUAAUUUUGGAUAUAUGUGCACCAAAUGUUUGAUGUAUUGUCCAUCUGUUGCACUAGCUUGUACAUUAUAGCUACAAAUUUAAUGUCAGCAUAACCCUCCCAAUUUUAAAUUUAAGUAUAAACUUAAUCCAUUUCAUUUGGAUACUCUGAACCAUGUUUUGGAAUUGAUUUGUCUAAUGUGAACUUUUAUUUGUAAAACUCUAUAUGCCCAAACUUAAUUAUGAAGCAGACGUUUGGUUGACCAUAAAUUUGUAAUUGUUUCAGCUUUUUAAAUGUAAAUAUCUAAUUCUUUGUUAUUAUAUUAUUAAUUAUACAACUUUAACAUUCUUUAACAUUAUAUACACCCGGAGAACUUGAAUGGUGCAUAACAUGUACCUUUUUGUUUAAAUGCCAAAAAGAGGGUAGACACCUAUAUUUUAACAAACUAUGUUUUACUAAUUAAGCUUAAUCUCUAAUUGGAGUUGGGUCCAGUUUACAAUUUAUAAAGUCUUUCGAAAACAAAAGGUGAGGUGACUAAUGUUUUUUUAACAUUUAUAAUUGCAAGCUUCUUAAGUUAAUUAACAUAUGGAUUUUAAUUUUGGAAAGAGGAAUGAGUUUUUGGCAAUAUCCUGUUAGCAAAUUAAUGUGUAUUCAUGCUUUCCUCUUAAAUUUUUCUUUUUAAUUGUUGUUUACUAAUUGAAUUACUAUACAGAAUGAGUUGAGAUUUCAGUUGUUCUGGUCUCCCAUUCAUUGUCUCUCUGUCUCUUGUAAGUUGCGACGUAGAACCAUUUUGUUAGCUCUAUAAAGUUCGUAAGUGAUGUUUCUCAUUUUUCAGGUUGUUGGUUAUUAUAGACUGAGCAGCCUUAAUAGUUCUAUUUUGCUUAGUGUAUGCUCUUUUUUUUGCUACGAUUACGUCUUUAUUCUCAUGUCGAAGUGUACAUUGGAAUGAUGUCAAACACUUUGAUGAGUGAAUAUGCAUUACAUUCAACACAAGUACAUGCAUAAAGUAAAAUAUCCGGCAAUUUUAUUAUUAUGUAGAGAAUAUUUUUGUCAUGAUAGCAACUGCUAAAAUAGAGUAUGCAUGUGCUCUCAUCUCAUCAGCAUCGUAUCAAGCUUUUUUUAUUAUUUAUAAUUCUAGUGACUUUAUAGGUCAGUGUGACAUACCCAUAUUCAACUGUGCUACAACAUAAUCUCACGACUAUAAACACAUGAUGAGUUGAAACUAGAAUAGAAAAUAAUCAAUACCGGGAAAAAUUGUAUGGUUAGCUACAAUCCAAUUUCAGAUCAAAGCUGAUGUGAAUGUGUAUUUCUCUCAAUCAGAUAUAUUCCUUCCUCUCUGCAUUAUGGAACUCUGUUUAUCUCUAUUUUUCUCGAAUUAAUUACUAUUUUUCCCAUCUUUGCACUAGAAGGGAUCAACGAUCUGGUGGGUUGAUGGUUUUUUUUAAAGAUUGUGUAGAAAGUUCAUUAACCCUCUAUUCUAAUGUUUUUAAUUGAUUUGAUGGGUUACUCCCUGCUCAACUUAGCUUUGGGCUUUAUGUUUAUGCCGAGUAGAACGUCAAGUACUCUCAAUUUAUGUUCUUUAUCUUUUACAGAUCUUAUUCUCUACAUGCAUGUUGGGUCGUAGUUCUUUGCAGUUCAUUUAAUUGGAGUGUACCAAUAUUUUUAUUUUUGUAAACUGUGUAGAGGAUUCCUAGUUUGACUUAAACAUGUUUAAGCAUCAACUUUAGUUUAAGCCUUUAAUGUCAUAAUUCCCAACUUUCAAGUGUCUUUUUGCAAGUUACUCAACAUUAAAGCAAUUGAAGUGCACUUAAUUAUUCAUUUACUAUUUAAUUCAUGGUGUUACAGAUGGUUGUGAAAGGGAUUGCUAAAGACUUCACGAAUAAUGAAAAUAUCAACUUCGAGGAAAAUUGGCCCAAUAUACCCUCUCCGGUUUGAGUUUAAGGGUUUUGAUAUUUCAACUUUUUAUUCUAUAAAAUACUUUUUUAGUUUUGAGGUUUUGAGCACAUAAGUUUCUUGGGAUUGUGUUAUAGUACUCUUACUUGCUUACACUUGUUCACCAAUUACCGAAAAUAGAUAGCUGCAUGAUUUAGGAAUUAGACUAUUGAUAAUGAUUAUGCUGACUACGUCUGCUUCUAGAGAUUGAGAACGAGUGUCAAACAAAAGGAAAAAACUUGGAGAUGUUAAAGUUAUUUUGGAACUGCAUUAUUGAUAGUGAUUACACUGGCUACAUCUAAGUUCUGGUGAUAUACUAUGUUCGUUGCAGAACAAUUAGCAAUGCUCAUUACGCAACAAAAGACGCAACGACAGUGAAGUCGUUGCCAAAACCCUUUUGCAACGAAAUUUGGCACCUUUAGCAACAAAAAUUGGUUGUUGCUGAAGUCCCAUUUUUUUGUAGUGCAUUUACUCUAAGACCUCAUUCACGUGUAUUUCAAAAUGGCUAGCCUAUGUUCUUCAUUUUCUUCCAACUCCCAAGCUCAUGAUCAUGAGGGAGUGAUGAUUAUGAUGAGUUCCAACAAUCAAUCUAACAACUCCUCCAUAACCUUCAUGCAAUCCUACAAUCCAUGGGUUUGAUUCAAUGGAAAAUUUCUAUGUCUGUGUAUUGAUUUUUCUAUAAAUAAGAGCUCCUUCCAUUUUUCCAAGUGUUGAGAAUUGCUAAGUGAGAGUUGAGAGCAUACAAGUAAUCUAGAGCUUGAGAGUUCAUUAGGAGCAAGUUCAUUGUAAUUAUAAAGGUAUAAAAUUCCUUCUUAUUCUUCAUUUUCAGUUUCUGUUAAAUUUCCAUUCUUGAAAUUCAAAUUCUUGAUUUUGUGGAAUUGGUUGCUAAUGAGGUUGGGUAAUGUCCAUAUAGUUGUUAUAUGACCAUAUAAGCAUGAUGCAACUGAUAUAUGAUGGUUUAAAAUCGAAAUCAUGAGUAAUUUUUGAGGUUGGGCUGGAGUUCUGCCGAAGCAGACUGCUUCUGCGCCUGAAUCAGGCAUGACGCAGCUACGCCACAUUUGUAUUGAGGCGCAUCGCAACUGCGCCGGUUGCUGAAUUCAGUUGAGCAGUCAAUUUUCAAAUCUGAUCAAUAUUGGCUAGUUGUUUUGACUCAAGCUAGCAUGUAAGCAUGUGUAUGAUGUAUAUAUGGAUACGUUAACCUAAUGUGAGCAUGUUUAGACUAGACUUGCAUGAUUAACGAAGGCGUAUGAUUUACAUGGAGAUUUAGACUAAGUUUUGAAAACAAACUAUGUUAAAUAUCAUGUUCUACAAAUUGUGAACCUAGUAAGCUAUGCAUGACUAAUUUUGCACAUAGAUGAGUAUGUUGUAGUGUAUAUAGUUCUUUUGAGCAUGUUCAAACUUACUAAGCCUUAUGUUAGAAAUAUUUUCAAUAAGAAGCUUAGCCUAGUGAGCUAACAUGCAUGAUUUUUAAAUGGUUUAUAUUUUGACUUUGAAAGCAUGUGAGUAUGACUUGGAAAUGCAUGAAUAAACCUUUAGCUUAUUUUUAUUUGAUUAGUAAGGAAACAUGAGCAUGUUGAACCUAUUAGCAAAGCUUUGAAUGUGAAUAUUGUCAAGAUACCAUGAGGACUAAAAUCUGACAUUUGUGAUCAUGUUUGAUGACACUCUUAGACUCGCUCAUGUAGCAUAACCAUAUAUAUACCAUGUUUGUGUAGCACAUUUCAAGAAAAGCAUGAACGAAGCCUAUUUUCAACUAAAGCGGUGUUAGUUUCAUGUAUGUGUUAUAAAUACACACAAGCAUGCCUAAUAUGAGUUUUUUUUAAAUAUCUUGUAUGUUUAGAAAGCAAGCAUGCUAGACCUUGUGAAUUCAUGACUUUGAAUGGCCUUAAAUUGUUAAAAUGAGCAACUUAGAACCAUGUUAUGAAAGAAGGAACCUAGAUUGACUUAAGGAGCAUGAAAAGACCUUUAACAUGAUAAAUAUAUUAUGUGUUAUUGUUUUGGUUGAGCUGGAGAGAAACCACAAGGCAGCAGCUGAGUCUUGGAAUGACCAUAGGACGACGCAGCUGCGCCGGUCCUAGGCUUAGCCAUGGCGCAACUGCGCCAGUCUGGAAUCCCAGAUAGUGAAUUCUGACUUUUGGACAGCAACUUUCAUGAUGCCUAUGAUGCUAAAUGUGAUCUAAAACCUACUGAUGUAUAUAUAUAUGAGUGAUGCCUAGUUGAUAAUUCGGUGUUGCAUUGAAAUGAAAAGUCCAUGAGUAGGAGGUCUUAACCUUGAGCAUUCUUGAUUUGCUUGUGAAGUAACUAAGUAGUUGAUUCAUGAUGACUUAUAAACUGAUUUUGUACCAUAUGUGCAUACUUGUAUCGUGUCGAGCUUGAUUAAGGACGAUGUUAGCUAAUGAACACUGUAUAUUUAUAAUACGUUAUACUAGGAUUCUAAAGUGUUGAUUUAUUAACGUGGAUAAACUACGCUUAAGGCAAGUUUCUCUAACAUUACUCAAAUUUAUAUUGAGCAAGUAUCCGAACCUUACUCUUAUUGUGCAAGUAUAAUUACAUUCUUUAUUCGACAAAUACCGUAAGCUUAUCCCUUUGAAUACAAGUUAUAUUACUUUCUCGUUCAAAUGAGCUAGUAUUUUAAACCCUUAUGAAAGCUGUUAUUCAUGUUGAACUUGGUAUUGUCCAUUGAAUAUUGUGAAAGAGUCGAUGUCAUUUGAUUCGGCUAGACUAUAUGCAUGUUUAUAAAAAAAAACUGUCCAAACCAAUUAAGUGGUGCGAAAAUCUUGAAAACUAAGUUGAACAACCCCUUUGGUAAAGGGAGUGUAUGUCGUUGGAAACCCCAACACAUGAAUGAAUAUUAUUGUGGUGUUAUGCAUAACGUAUAGUAUUGUAGAUUGAUCAUCUAUAGUACUUGAUAUUUUAAGGUUAUCAGUUUAAUAUUGGUAACUCUAGUGGAAGUUCAAUAGUCCUUAGUGACUGCUCAGUAUAAAUUGUUAUCCAGUUGGAUACCUUGAUAGUCGUUGAAUUCAUAUAUAUUUGUUGAUUUAUAUUGAAUUAUCGUUCUUAUUCAAAGAAUUGUUGAUAUUUCUUACCCAUGAUGUUAUUCUGAUACUUUGAACUAUCCUAGAAAUGGCACUCCGAUAUUUCAAACCUUAUGAUAUUAUAUCCUAUACCCUUGUUGUAUAUUACUUGUUGGACAAUUUGUGCUCAUCCUUGCUUUUAAAAAAACCUUUCAGUUAAGGCAGAACAGGGAAGUGUAUCCGGGCAGGACAAGGGCAAGGGCAAGGCUACCGACUAGCUUGUCCUUUUUAUGUUCAAAGUCUAUUAUGUUGUAUUAAGACUAUUUCAGACUAUGUUUAAGCUUAAGUAGGAUCAUGUAAUAAGUCUUUAUUAGAUAUUAUUAUGUAAUCUAUUAAGCACUGUAGGUUACGAGACUUGGGGGAAUAAUUAUAAUAAAUUAUUGUAUAUUAUUUUAAAGUAGAUUUUUCGUUGUGUAUGCGUUAUUUUAGAUAUUGUGGUUUUACCAUGAGAACGUGAUGAACCGAAUUUGAGGGACCAAGUGGAGGUCCGAAUUUGGGGGUGUCACAGGUUGGUAUCAAAGCUAUAGUUAUAAACUUUAGGAACGAGAGUCCUUAGAUUAUAACUUAAGAAAACUUAGAGGUUAGGAAGGGAUAAAAAUCACGUAGAGUUUUCCCAAAGAGACUUAACGUGUUAUGAAAUGUAACUUCAUUCUAUACAAUGAACUUAUGUUUAUUUAACAUUCUGAUGGAGUUGUUUUUUGUCUUGUCUUAUGUUGGUGAUUGUAG
RNAcentral lists this long non-coding RNA (8663 nucleotides) under Panax ginseng (ginseng). Its description in RNAcentral is "long non-coding RNA (PGIN_LNC008641)". Lineage: Eukaryota; Viridiplantae; Streptophyta; Magnoliopsida; Apiales; Araliaceae. The record is from RNAcentral.